CUUUGCUACUAUUGUUUCUUUUUCUUUGGCUUUCCAUUUCUAUUCUACCUAAAAAUGUGUUUCUUUGGGGGAGGGUCUUCCGUUGGUAUAUUGAGCAUUAUAGAAACAACACAGAUGUUUUAGGUGAUCUGCAUAUGCAGCAUUUUGCAACUUAUUCAACUGUAAAAACGUCUAAUAAACAACCUAUGAUUCAUGGUUACUACAUCGCGACCAUAUGCCUACCAAUCUGCUAAUGCUGAUUUGUCUGAUGAUCUAUAGAGAGAAUCUCGUGAACAAAUUAAUUUUAAGAAAAAACCCGAAAUAUAAGGAAAUACUUUCUGCAGUUGCCGUAUCACCUCUCUGAAAGACAUGAUUGUUUUAACACAUCAUACGAAUUUGCAUGAGAUAAAGAAUACAUUUUAAUUGGUCUUGACAUGGACCCUAGGACCCCUGGCAGCCUCUUAAGUUAGCUGAAUGCUGAAUGUUCUGUAUUCUGGGGUGUUUAAUAACAAUUCAUUUGCCUCUGCUCAUUUCCUGUUUACCAAUGUACCUAAAACUUAAACCUUCUUUAUAUUUUUUUCGGUCAAAACAUUAGGUUACACCACCUACUCACCUAUUCAUCAUUCAUUUCACAUCGUCUUUAAAGUAACGACAGAACAAAGACUCUGCAGCACAGGGACGGAUAUAUCUUAGUAUUUUUAGUUUGAGUAAAAAAGUACUUUGAACUCAACACACAAAGGAAAAUAAUUACCAUGAAUAUGUUUAAAGUCCCAGUCACAGCGGCAACCGCUACAGGACAAUCUUUCAAUUAUCCAUUGUUCAAAAAUGUAAUCUGGCAAUUUAAAUCUAUGGCACAUAACUAGUGUAAAUUGUAGUAUUUAAGAAAAUCACUUAUUCAUUCCAUUAGGUAUGAGACAAGUAAAAAAAUACACAUGGCCUUUGGUUUUUUGGGGUUGUGGCUUUAAAAUUAUAAUAGUUAGAAAACUACUGAAAAUUGAAAUUUAUCUGAUGAAACUAUCAGAAAAUGAGCAUUGGACCAAAAUCUGGACUUGUUUCUGAAUUUGUUUUUGUGAGCCUCAGCUGGGGCCACAGUAUUUACUAAACUUACUUUAAUUACUAAAUCUAAACAUUUAUGAUCAAGAGAAUUCUUUGGGUCAGACAAAGAAAGUAAAAACAUUCUUGCAUGCUACAACUUUGACUCACAAGGACAGUGGCUGAUGGACUUUUUCAGUUCAAGCCCACUUUGGAGGGCCAACAUUUGGCCAGGUUCCCCCUUAGUUCAAGAUAUACAAAAACACUGCUAUAUCACUGCAAUAAUAACUAGAGCAGCAAACAGAUUUUCAUCCCAAAUCUCCCCUUAAUUGACCUCUGAUCUGGACUUCCUAAUAUAUAAAGGAGUGCAAAUUGGCAUUCUCCAUGCAUUUAACCUCCACUGGCCUUCAGCCUAAACAAUUACAACUGCUCUAUGCCUCCCAGAGACCAGCCCUAAGUUUAGGAACCACUAUACAAGAAGAACUGUGUGUGUUCCAUUUUUUAACAUUAAAAUAUGCACAUAGUUUGAUAUUUGUUCAAAGUCAAGGUUCCAAGAUCAAUCAUGUAAAACAUUAUGGAUGUUUCUCGAAACUUCAGCUGAAAGGGCUACACCGGUUGCUUUUCAUUUUAAUCUAAUCAAGUUGCAGUAACUUGCAUUUAUUAGAAGUGUCCUUUAUUUUUCAAAUGAUCUGGAACUCUUAUUCAGAGAAUUUGUGGAGGUCUUGGUAUUUAGCCAAAGCCAUAAAUAAUAAAUUUGGUGUAUUCCAAAAUAACAUGUAUACCCAUAUGGUGCUUUAUUCUGGGGAAUUUAUUAGAAAAUUGAUUCUCUGAAGCGCAUUGCUUUUAGCAAUAUUAGGCCACAUUGCUAGCUCAGUAUAACACAGGAAGCUCAUCAUUUAGGUACCAAGAAUAUGUGACUGUCUUCUGAUACCAAGGAUUGUUGGCUACAAAAAAAUUGUUGUAUUCUUUGUUGCAACAUUAUGACUUUGACGCCUAUAAAAGACAUGGGCUGAUGGUAUGUUGCCUGAAGCCCUCUUGUUCCAUGUAUAGCAACCUUCUCUUAUGUGACAUUGAGACAUCGAGACAGCUUCCACAAGACUCUGAUUUAGCUUGGUGAAUAAACUACUCCGUUAUUCUGA
This is a long non-coding RNA of Xenopus laevis (African clawed frog), 2150 nucleotides long. RefSeq lists it as uncharacterized. The record is from RefSeq and is a predicted model, not a curated record. NCBI's taxonomy places the organism in Eukaryota, Metazoa, Chordata, Amphibia, Anura, Pipidae. The transcript is spliced from 2 exons.